CUACUUAUGAGGAAGCGAGGGUCAAACUGCCAGAGCCUGAAAGAUUCACGGAUUUGACUGAUUGAGAAACCAGCCACAGAGACACAAACGGAGAACAAUGAAGAGGUGUCACAUUCAAGAUGAUGCGGAUAGUGAAGAUGAGAUGUCGGGAGCAUCUACUUUACCUAGACCUCCAGAAAUGGCCACUGCAAAGAAGCUGUCACCCUCAAUCCUACAAUGGCGGGCGGAUGGACAGACAAACGGACAAAGAAACCCCAACGAUUACUUUACCUCUGCUGGCGGAGCGGACAAAGUUUUACAUCAGAAGAUGACAAGAAUGCAGUAAGAAGAAAUCCAUUGACAGCCACAGCUACAGACCAGGAUAUUGAGCAGUGGAUUCGAAGGUGGCUCCA
Long non-coding RNA from Salarias fasciatus (jewelled blenny), 392 nucleotides. RefSeq lists it as uncharacterized. NCBI's taxonomy places the organism in Eukaryota, Metazoa, Chordata, Actinopteri, Blenniiformes, Blenniidae. The record is from RefSeq and is a predicted model, not a curated record. The transcript has 5 exons.